This 612-nucleotide ribosomal RNA is filed under the name Triticum aestivum (bread wheat). RNAcentral's name for it is "partial small subunit ribosomal RNA". The record is from RNAcentral. Lineage: Eukaryota; Viridiplantae; Streptophyta; Magnoliopsida; Poales; Poaceae.
GCGCGGCGAGCUAGGGGAAAAGUAAAGCUUGUGCAUUGGGUCUUCCGUUGACGCUCUCUAUAGGUACCGCUAAACCUCGAGGGGGAGGGGGAGCGGCGAGCAACCAACCACCACUGAGCAGCCGCGAGAGGGAGGAUGACGGAGCGAGGGAGGCGGAGCAGCAACAAAGAGGUCGGCUUCUGGACGUCGUAGAGAGGCGGGGCGUAGGUGGAACCGUGGUAAUAAAGCGGCGAGCAGCCAAAACAAGCUAAGCUCAGCGGACUUCGACUAAUGGCUCCUCUACCACGUCGUGUGUUGUCAGUUAAACUACCAAAUGUCUCUCCACAUGGAACUCACACCACACCAUCCGACUGACCACAUGGGUGCGCUGUCCCACACACACACGAGACAUAAAAAAUCGUACCGUACGGCACACACUCUACAUACGCACUCAGAUCAGACUUGGAAAGGGGGACAAGAGACAUGGAUAGGGUUGAAAGGAGAGGUAGGAGAGUACAUGAGAUAGAGAGUGUGUGGGUUUAAGGAGGACAUUAAACACUCUAGAUAGUUAGAUACUCUACCCGUAACACCAAUUAACAAACUUAAGCCGACCAACAAACUAAAACACACGCC